CUUUUAUCUAACUCAUUUACUCUCCAACUGCCUGCAAUAGCCAGGCUGCCCCAGGCUGGAGCCCAGAGCCUGGAACUACAGCUGGGUCGUCUCUCGGAACUUUCCUCGUACCUGAUGGUAAUAAUCUGGCCAAAGUUCAGUUCGAAGUUGUUGACUUGAGCGAUGAAGAUGGCGGCCAGGGCCUCGUACAGGGCCGUGCCGUCCAUGUUGAUGGUGGCCCCCACAGGGAGCACGAACCUGGUGACGCGCUUGUCCACGCCGUUGUUCUCCUCCAGGCACUUGAAGGAAGUAGAGGAGUGGCAGGACGAUCACGGCGUGGAUGAGCAAGCCAACGAUGACCGUCACUGUGUACAUGGCCAGCUGCCCCCCGAUCACACCCAUGUCUUCCAUCUCGACAAUCUUCCCUGC
Ochotona princeps (American pika) is the source of this 408-nucleotide long non-coding RNA. RefSeq lists it as uncharacterized. Lineage: Eukaryota; Metazoa; Chordata; Mammalia; Lagomorpha; Ochotonidae. The record is from RefSeq and is a predicted model, not a curated record. The transcript has 3 exons.